GGCGAAGUAGAGCAAAGGUUAGUUCGUCGGUCUCAUGCUCCGAAAGUCGUUGUUCGAUUCAACGCUUCGCUC
RNAcentral lists this transfer RNA (72 nucleotides) under Gloeotilopsis planctonica. RNAcentral's name for it is "tRNA-Met". It matches the Rfam family "tRNA". From Rfam's summary of the family: Transfer RNA (tRNA) molecules are approximately 80 nucleotides in length. Their secondary structure includes four short double-helical elements and three loops (D, anti-codon, and T loops). The record is from RNAcentral. Lineage: Eukaryota; Viridiplantae; Chlorophyta; Ulvophyceae; Ulotrichales; Ulotrichaceae.